Molecule: small nuclear RNA, 18 nt
Filed under: Arabidopsis thaliana (thale cress)
Lineage: Eukaryota; Viridiplantae; Streptophyta; Magnoliopsida; Brassicales; Brassicaceae
Description: snRNA_01593
Source: RNAcentral
AAUACGGGCGAGAGACCG